Molecule: non-coding RNA, 64 nt
Filed under: unclassified sequences
Source: RNAcentral
CGCAGAGUGACGGGAGGGUUUAUCGGCCCUCCCGGUAAUGCGGCAGCCCGGUUCGCAAGCCCGG